CCUUGAGCCGAAUCGCUGCUUUCAGCUUUAUUCUCUAAAGGAAGCAGUCAAGUGUGACGCGAGCCUUGAAAGGCUGAUGUUGGCAGCACACAGGCGAGUCUUCACCUGUCCCUCCAGCAUGUCCCUCUGGAGGCCGGAGCGAUCCUGCUCGGUGCUGUUGGUCCUGCGGAUCGACAGGCUGUGGGACUUCCUCUUCUGCUUGGCCUGACGAGCCGCUGCACUACUCCCGCUCUCCACCGGCAUCCCUCUGCCUGAAUCUGAAGUGACCACAGUCUGAAAGCAGUGAGAGGAGUGAAGGAAAUCCUGGUUAAAAUAAUCUCCUGGAAAGCGGUGCUGGCUGAGAGUCCAACAAUGACACACUCCUUGGAAAACACAAGACAAUUGUGUCGCAUUUGGCUGAGGUUUUAUUUGUUAGCUUCCACAUGCCCACACAGUCUGGGUUUUGGUACAUUAACGAGAAACAUGAGAGAUUACUGGGAAAUAAACUGAUUAUUAUUUCAA
Molecule: long non-coding RNA, 501 nt
Organism: Labrus bergylta (ballan wrasse)
Lineage: Eukaryota; Metazoa; Chordata; Actinopteri; Labriformes; Labridae
Source: RefSeq, a predicted model, not a curated record